Molecule: ribosomal RNA, 497 nt
Filed under: uncultured bacterium
Lineage: Bacteria
Description: partial 16S ribosomal RNA
Rfam family: Bacterial small subunit ribosomal RNA
Source: RNAcentral
GAUGAACGCUGGCGGCGUGCCUAAUACAUGCAAGUCGAGCGAACGGACGAGAAGCUUGCUUCUCUGAUGUUAGCGGCGGACGGGUGAGUAACACGUGGAUAACCUACUUAUAAGACUGGGAUAACUUCGGGAAACCGGAGCUAAUACCGGAUAAUAUUUUGAACCGCAUGGUUCAAAAGUGAAAGACGGUCUUGCUGUCACUUAUAGAUGGAUCCGCGCUGCAUUAGCUAGUUGGUAAGGUAACGGCUUACCAAGGCAACGAUGCAUAGCCGACCUGAGAGGGUGAUCGGCCACACUGGAACUGAGACACGGUCCAGACUCCUACGGGAGGCAGCAGUAGGGAAUCUUCCGCAAUGGGCGAAAGCCUGACGGAGCAACGCCGCGUGAGUGAUGAAGGUCUUCGGAUCGUAAAACUCUGUUAUUAGGGAAGAACAUAUGUGUAAGUAACUGUGCACAUCUUGACGGUACCUAAUCAGAAAGCCCCGGCUAACUACGUG